This 194-nucleotide ribosomal RNA is filed under the name uncultured Actinomycetales bacterium. Its description in RNAcentral is "partial 16S ribosomal RNA". It matches the Rfam family "Bacterial small subunit ribosomal RNA", at positions 137 to 334 of the family's 1533-position model. The record is from RNAcentral. Lineage: Bacteria; Bacillati; Actinomycetota; Actinomycetes; Actinomycetales.
CUUGGGAUAAGCCUGGGAAACUGGGUCUAAUACCGGAUAGGACCAUGCUUUAGUGUGUGUGGUGGAAAGUUUUUUCGGUGUAGGAUGAGCCCGCGGCCUAUCAGCUUGUUGGUGGGGUAAUGGCCUACCAAGGCGGCGACGGGUAGCCGGACUGAGAGGUUGGUCGGCCACAUUGGGACUGAGAUACGGCCCAG